GAUGAAGAACGCAGCGAAAUGCGAUAAGUAAUGUGAAUUGCAGAAUUCAGUGAAUCAUCGAAUCUUUGAACGCACAUUGCGCCCCUUGGUAUUCCGGGGGGCAUGCCCGUUCGAGCGUCAUUACACCCAUCAAGCCCGGCUUGGUCUUGGGCGACGGGGGGGAGACCCCGCCCGCGCCGUUAAACUCUUCAUCACAGGUUGACCUCGGAUCGGGUAGGGAUACCCGCUGAACUUAAGCAUAUCAAUAAGCGGAGGA
This 256-nucleotide unclassified non-coding RNA is filed under the name soil metagenome. RNAcentral describes it as "partial contains 5.8S ribosomal RNA, internal transcribed spacer 2, and large subunit ribosomal RNA". The stretch from base 1 to 120 matches the Rfam family "5.8S ribosomal RNA", at positions 35 to 154 of the family's 154-position model. The record is from RNAcentral.